RNAcentral lists this ribosomal RNA (460 nucleotides) under uncultured bacterium. RNAcentral's name for it is "partial 16S ribosomal RNA". It matches the Rfam family "Bacterial small subunit ribosomal RNA", at positions 338 to 795 of the family's 1533-position model. The record is from RNAcentral.
CCUACGGGAGGCAGCAGUGAGGAAUAUUGGUCAAUGGGCGCGAGCCUGAACCAGCCAAGUAGCGUGAAGGAUGACUGCCCUAUGGGUUGUAAACUUCUUUUAUAUGGGAAUAAAGUGAAGUACGUAUACCGCUUUGCAUGUACCUUAUGAAUAAGGAUCGGCUAACUCCGUGCCAGCAGCCGCGGUAAUACGGAGGAUCCGAGCGUUAUCCGGAUUUAUUGGGUUUAAAGGGAGCGUAGGUGGGUUGUUAAGUCAGUUGUGAAAGUUUGCGGCUCAACCGUAAAAUUGCAGUUGAUACUGGCAGCCUUGAGUACAGUAGAGGUAGGCGGAAUUCGUGGUGUAGCGGUGAAAUGCUUAGAUAUCACGAAGAACCCCGAUUGCGAAGGCAGCCUACUAGACUGUCACUGACGCUGAUGCUCGAAAGUGUGGGUAUCAAACAGGAUUAGAUACCCUGGUAGUC